CUGAACUCUCUUGUAGGUGUUCCAAUCUCUGGUGCUACCUCCCAGCUGGACCUCAGACCUGUCCUAUAGAUAUCUUCCCUCCUGGAUGGGAUGGAACACCUGGCUGGACCAUGGAUCAGAUUCAUUGCUUGCCAUUUCAGGGGCUGCCAAAGCACCCUGUGAACAGGAGCUGGUCCUACCUUCAGAGAAAGAACAACACACUUUGCGAUAUGCUUAGGGUUUUUGCACAGAAAGGCUCUGCUUCAUUGAUCCAGGGUCUGAAUAAAAAAAGUGAACUCUUUUAUCAGCCUUUUUAAAGCAUGACUCAGUUGUCUGCCCAGCAGGGAAGGCUCUUCUGUGGUUAUGUGAUGUGGCAGAACCCACAGAGCAGAUUUGAACUUGCUGCCAGCUGUCCAAGGUGGAGUUGACAAUGCAGCUCUAUGCGCUGUGCUGAUGAACUAUACCUUUGUCAGCAGAUUCUAGGGUAAUAAGUACACAAAGCCUAAGAGGGAUACUUCUGUUUUGUAAGGAGAAAAUUGACUAGGGAACUCACCUUUCAAGAGAUGAAAAAGACAUUAGAAAUAUUAAUGAAAAAUGUCUACGACAUUAUCAUAAGAGGUCAGAAACUGUGCCAAAAAUCAUCCCUACA
Molecule: long non-coding RNA, 628 nt
Organism: Passer domesticus (house sparrow)
Lineage: Eukaryota; Metazoa; Chordata; Aves; Passeriformes; Passeridae
Exons: 3
Source: RefSeq, a predicted model, not a curated record